CCCCUGUCAGUCUAGUGGCUAGGACCCCUGGUUUUCAUCCAGGUUACCCAGGCUCAAUUUCUGGGCAGGGAA
This 72-nucleotide transfer RNA is filed under the name Bos taurus (domestic cattle). It matches the Rfam family "tRNA". Rfam says of the family: Transfer RNA (tRNA) molecules are approximately 80 nucleotides in length. The record is from Rfam by way of RNAcentral. Lineage: Eukaryota; Metazoa; Chordata; Mammalia; Artiodactyla; Bovidae. RNAcentral also lists the same sequence under 1 other name.